GGUGAAGGCCCCAGUGCAGCAACAACAGCACAUGAUGGAGACGAUGAUGAGGAGGAGACCAUCUCUCUGGAUUCCAGAAGGCAUGAGGACCCAGAUGCUAUACAGUGGGAAAACCAGCCUGGCAACAUAGUGCGUAUUAAUAAAAGGACACCACAUCCUGCCAAAUUCCAGCUGCGCUAAUUGUAUUGUGUUCACAGAGCUCACAAGCUAUCAGAAAGUUGUAUGGCAACCACCUCCGGCGCCAAAUAGAACUGACAGACAUUCAGUACAAGAAGAAAAAGAUGGAAAAUCUUGCACUGGAGUCCGAAAUAAAAAAGAGGACAAUUAGGAAACUGGAACUUGAAAUAAAAAAACUUGAGAGGGAGCUCCAAGAAGAUGACACAGCUCAAAAUAAAAAUUAGCAAUCAGUACAACCAAGUCAUCGUUAAAAGGCAUCGCCCUCUUUUGCCCACCCCCCAGCACCAGGUGUGGCCACUAGCCUAUAUGAAGGCCCAAAAUUGUGUGUUCCUUUCUGCUCUGACAAUGGCAUGCCCAUUCGUUUGCAACAGAUGUGGUGGAUGAAGAAGCACUUGUGCUGAGGAGAGCCUUCAGGCGAGAAAGGGUCUUCAGGGACCGGUUGGACCCACUGGCCUUCCCUGAUGACCAUCUAUAUGAAAGAUACAGGUUUUCUGCAGAUGGCAUCAGGUAUCUAUGCAGACUACUGGGUCCCAGGAUUAAGCACCGCACUGCACGGAGCCAUGCACUGAGUGUGGAGCAAAUGGUUUGUGUGGCCUUGCGCUUUUUUGCUAGUGGAGCCUUCCUGUACUCAGUGGGGGAUGCAGAACAGCUGAACAAGGCCACAAUUUGCCGCACAAUAAGGAGUGUGUGUCUGGCUAUCAAAGCAUUAGCAGAUGUCUUCAUCUCCUUCCCUGGCCACAGAAGACUCUGUGACAUCAAAGAGAGUUCUAUAGGAUUGCAGAUGGUCUGCAAUGCUGACUGUGUGAUCAGCAAUGUUGUGGCAAAAUGGCCUGGCUCAGUCCAUGACUCAGAAUCUUUCGGGCCUCUGAAAUCUAUCAGUGCCUAUCA
Long non-coding RNA from Oncorhynchus nerka (sockeye salmon), 1065 nucleotides. RefSeq lists it as uncharacterized. The record is from RefSeq and is a predicted model, not a curated record. The transcript has 5 exons. Lineage: Eukaryota; Metazoa; Chordata; Actinopteri; Salmoniformes; Salmonidae.